UGGGGAAUAUUGCACAAUGGGCGCAAGCCUGAUGCAGCCAUGCCGCGUGUAUGAAGAAGGCCUUCGGGUUGUAAAGUACUUUCAGCGGGGAGGAAGGGAGUAAAGUUAAUACCUUUGCUCAUUGACGUUACCCGCAGAAGAAGCACCGGCUAACUCCGUGCCAGCAGCCGCGGUAAUACGGAGGGUGCAAGCGUUAAUCGGAAUUACUUGGCGUAAAGCGCACGCAGGCGGUUUGUUAAGUCAGAUGUGAAAUCCCCGGGCUCAACCUGGGAACUGCAUCUGAUACUGGCAAGCUUGAGUCUCGUAGAGGGGGGUAGAAUUCCAGGUGUAGCGGUGAAAUGCGUAGAGAUCUGGAGGAAUACCGGUGGCGAAGGCGGCCCCCUGGACGAAGACUGACGCUCAGGUGCGAAAGCGUGGGGAGCAAACAGG
RNAcentral lists this ribosomal RNA (429 nucleotides) under Chloroflexota bacterium. Its description in RNAcentral is "Chloroflexi bacterium partial 16S ribosomal RNA". It matches the Rfam family "Bacterial small subunit ribosomal RNA", at positions 355 to 776 of the family's 1533-position model. The record is from RNAcentral. Lineage: Bacteria; Bacillati; Chloroflexota.